GAUGGUUCGAUUAGUCUUUCGCCCCUAUACCCAGUUCAUACGAUCGAUUUGCACGUCAGAAUCGCUACGGACCUCCAUCAGGGUUUCCCCUGACUUCAUCCUGACCAGGCAUAGUUCACCAUCUUUCGGGUCCCAGCGUGUACGCUCUUGGUGCGCCGCAACUUGCAAUAAGUAUGCGACGCCCCGGGAAUGCGAGGUAACAUAAAUAACGUUACCCAUCUUCCCUUUAUAAAAUAUAAUUAUAAAAAUUAUAUAUAUAUUUACUUUCAUUAUGCCUUUAGGUUUAUUAUAAAUACCCAAUGACUUGCGCACAUGCUAGAUG
Molecule: ribosomal RNA, 322 nt
Filed under: Blackburnia paludicola
Lineage: Eukaryota; Metazoa; Arthropoda; Insecta; Coleoptera; Carabidae
Description: partial 28S ribosomal RNA
Source: RNAcentral